RNAcentral lists this ribosomal RNA (589 nucleotides) under uncultured bacterium. RNAcentral describes it as "bacterial SSU rRNA". It matches the Rfam family "Bacterial small subunit ribosomal RNA", at positions 337 to 917 of the family's 1533-position model. The record is from RNAcentral.
UCCUACGGGAGGCAGCAGUAGGGAAUCUUCCGCAAUGGACGAAAGUCUGACGGAGCAACGCCGCGUGAGUGAUGAAGGCUUUCGGGUCGUAAAACUCUGUUGUUAGGGAAGAACAAGUGCUAGUUGAAUAAGCUGGCACCUUGACGGUACCUAACCAGAAAGCCACGGCUAACUACGUGCCAGCAGCCGCGGUAAUACGUAGGUGGCAAGCGUUAUCCGGAAUUAUUGGGCGUAAAGCGCGCGCAGGUGGUUUCUUAAGUCUGAUGUGAAAGCCCACGGCUCAACCGUGGAGGGUCAUUGGAAACUGGGAGACUUGAGUGCAGAAGAGGAAAGUGGAAUUCCAUGUGUAGCGGUGAAAUGCGUAGAGAUAUGGAGGAACACCAGUGGCGAAGGCGACUUUCUGGUCUGUAACUGACACUGAGGCGCGAAAGCGUGGGUAGCGAACAGGAUUAGAUACCCUGGUAGUCCACGCCGUAAACGAUGACAACCAGCUGUUGGGAAGCAAUGCUUUUCAGUGGCGCAGCUAACGUCUUAAGUUGUCCGCCUGGGGAGUACGGCCGCAAGGUUAAAACUCAAAUGAAUUGACGGA